RNAcentral lists this ribosomal RNA (253 nucleotides) under uncultured bacterium. RNAcentral's name for it is "partial 16S ribosomal RNA". It matches the Rfam family "Bacterial small subunit ribosomal RNA", at positions 524 to 776 of the family's 1533-position model. The record is from RNAcentral.
UACGUAGGUGGCAAGCGUUGUCCGGAUUUACUGGGCGUAAAGAGCGCGCAGGCGGUCGUUCAAGUCGCGUGUGAAAGCCCCCGGCUCAACUGGGGAGGGUCACGCGAUACUGAUCGACUGGAAGGCAGGAGAGGGUAGUGGAAUUCCCGGUGUAGUGGUGAAAUGCGUAGAUAUCGGGAGGAACACCAGUGGCGAAGGCGGUUGCCUGGGGCUUUGCUGACGCUGAUGCGCGAAAGCGUGGGGAGCGAUCCGG